UACGAAGGUCCCGAGCGUUGUUUGGAAUCACUGGGCGUAAAGGGAGCGUAGGCGGCGCGGUAAGUCAGAUGUGAAAUCCCGGGGCUCAACCCCGGAACUGCAUCCGAUACUGCCGUGCUAGAGGAUUGGAGAGGUAGCUGGAAUUCUUGGUGUAGCAGUGAAAUGCGUGGAGAUCAAGAGGAACACUCGUGGCGAAAGCGAGCUACUGGACAAUAUCUGACGCUGAGGCUCGAAGGCCAGGGUAGCGAAAGGG
RNAcentral lists this ribosomal RNA (253 nucleotides) under uncultured bacterium. Its description in RNAcentral is "partial 16S ribosomal RNA". It matches the Rfam family "Bacterial small subunit ribosomal RNA", at positions 524 to 776 of the family's 1533-position model. The record is from RNAcentral.